GGAGUGGUACCCAAGUGGCUAUAAGGGGCUCCCUUGCUAAGGGAGUAGGCUGAGAAAUCGGUGCGAGGGUUCGAAUCCCUCUCACUCCGCCA
This 92-nucleotide transfer RNA is filed under the name Bacillus thuringiensis. RNAcentral describes it as "tRNA-Ser". It matches the Rfam family "tRNA". From Rfam's summary of the family: Transfer RNA (tRNA) molecules are approximately 80 nucleotides in length. Their secondary structure includes four short double-helical elements and three loops (D, anti-codon, and T loops). The record is from RNAcentral. Lineage: Bacteria; Bacillati; Bacillota; Bacilli; Caryophanales; Bacillaceae.